CUGAGUAAAGGUCUCUGUCCUAAGAACCAAGCCCUCAGCAUGUAUAAAAAAGAGUGUUUAGCCAUUCUCAUGGCCGUGGACAAAUGGAGGCCUUACUUGCAGCACCAGCCUUUCAUCAUUCGCACUGACCAGCAAGCCCUGCUACACCUGUCAGAUCAAAGGCUUAACACUUGAAUCCAACACAAAGCCUUUGUGAAACUCAUGGGUUUGGAAUAUACUCCCUCCGUUCCAAAAUAG
RNAcentral lists this ribosomal RNA (237 nucleotides) under Triticum aestivum (bread wheat). RNAcentral's name for it is "partial small subunit ribosomal RNA". Lineage: Eukaryota; Viridiplantae; Streptophyta; Magnoliopsida; Poales; Poaceae. The record is from RNAcentral.